AAUCUAACAAAUUUAAAUGCUCGAAAUAGAUAUUAAGGUACUUAAAGGCGAAGAAGGACGUGAUUAUCUGCGAAAAGCUUUAUUUAGUUGAUAAAUAUAACAUAAAAAUAAAGAUCUCCGAAUGAGGCAACUCUUUAAUUUAUUUAAACAUUUAAAUAAAAGCAAACUUGAGGAACUGAACCAUCUUAGUACUCAAAGGAAAAUAAAGUAACAACGAUUCUCUGAGUAGUGGCGAGCGAAACGGGAAUAAACUAUAUUUAUAUAGUUUGUAAUUUAUUAUUUUUAAUUGAAAAUAAUAAAAUAUCAAUUUUAUAUAAUUGAACAAGUAAAGUAGAUAAUGUUUUUUCUGCUUGAAUAUACAAAGACCUCUUUGUAAUACUAAAUACUAUUAAGUGACCGACAGUGAACAAGUACCGUGAGGGAAAAAUGAAAAGUACCCCUAACGGGGAGUGAAAAGAUCUUGAAAUUUUGUGUAUACAAACAUUAGAAAGGUUACUAUAGCCUGACUAUAUGCCUGUUGAAGAAUGAGCCGAUGAGUAAAGAAAAAAGGCUCGAUUAAAGUAAAUUACUGAAGUCAUAGUGAAAGCGAGCUAAUUUAAGCGACAAGGUCUUCUUUUUUUAACCCGAACCUGGAUGAUCUAACCAUGUCCAGGAUGAAACUUAUGUAAAAACUAAGUGAAGGUCCGAACUGGUUGAUGCUGCAAAAUCAUCAGACGAGAUGUGGUUAGGGGUGAAAUGCCAAACGAAUUCAGAGUUAGCUGGUUCUCCUCGAAAUGUGUUUAGGCACAGCCAUUUAAUAAAAUUGUGGGGUAAAGCACUGUUUUAAAUAGAACUUUUUUAAGUAUCUUAAUUAAAACAAACUAAGAAUACUCAAUUUCAUAUUAUUAUAAUGAGUGAGACUUAGGGGGAUAAGCUCCUAAGUCGAGAGGGCAACAGCCCAGAUUAUAAGCUAAGGUACAUAAAUAAUAUUAAAUGAUGAAAAAAUGUAUUUAUACAAAAACAGCUAGAAGGUUGGCUUAGAAGCAGCUAUCCUUUAAAGAGUGCGUAAUAGCUCACUAGUUAAGUAUAAAUGCAUUUAAAAUUUAGGUCUAAAUAUUAUGCCGAAGCUAUAAGAUAUUAAUAUUAAUAAUCAGUAGAGGAGCGUUCUGUACAUGUUAUUUUAAAAUGUAAGUUUUAAUUAUUAUAACAGAAUUGAGAAUAUCGGUUUAAGUAACGAAAACUCAAGUAAGAAUCUUGAGCUCUGUAAAUUUAAGGUUUCCUACGUUUUAGUUUUUCUUCGUAGGGUUAGUCGGGGCCUAAAAUGAGAUAAUUUAUGUAAUUGAUGGUUAGCUAGGUUAAUAUUCCUACACCAAUAUUAAUAACUUUUAAAUAACUAAAUAUUGUUUUAUUGUAUUUAUUAUUGGUUUUAAAUUAAUAAAAUAUUAUUUACAAGAAAAGUUUUUAAAGUUUAUAUUAAUUAUUGCCCGUACUUAAACUGACACAAGUUAAUACGUAGAGUAUACUAAAGAGCACGAAAGAACUCCCUCUAAGGAACUCGGCAAAUUAACUCUGUAACUUAGGGAUAAAGAGUGCCUAUUAGGCUUCAAUAAAAAGAUUCAAGCGACUGUUUAUCAAAAACACAGGUUCCCGCUAAAUUGAAAAAUGAUGUAAGGGGGCUGACGCCUGCCCAGUGCUGAUAAGUGAAAUAAAAAAGUUAUAUAAACUAUAAGCUUUUUUUAUAAGCAUUAGUAAACGGCGGCCGUAACUAUAACGGUCCUAAGGUAGCGAAAUUCCUUGUCGGGUAAGUUCCGACCCGCACGAAAGGCGUAACGACUUGAAUACUGUCUCAGAGGGAGAUUCGGUGAAAUAAAAAUAUCCGUGAAGAUGCGGAUAACACACAUUAGGACAGAAAGACCCUAUGAAGCUUGACUAUAUUUUAAAAUUGUAAUUUAAUUUAAUUUGUGCAGUAUAAGUGGGAGAUAAAAAUAAUUUUAUGCAAGUAAAUUUAUAGUCAUAAAUGAGAUACCACCCUUAUUAAAUUAUAUUUCUAAUAAAUACACUAUAAAUUAGUUUUUAAACCAUUUUAAAAAGGUAGUUUGACUGGGGCGGUCGCCUCCUAAAAAGUAACGGAGGCGCACAAAGGUUUAUUUAUAUCGGUCAGAAAUCGAUAGAUAAGUGUAAAGGCAGAAAUAAGCUUGACUGUAAGAUAUACUAAUCAAACAGGGACGAAAGUCGGUCUUAAUGAUCCGAUAUUUUUGAGAGGGAAAGAUAUCGCUUAACGAAUAAAAGUUACUCUAGGGAUAACAGGCUAAUCUCUCCUAAGAGUCCUUAUCGCCGGAGAGGUUUGGCACCUCGAUGUCGGCUCGUCGCAUCCUGGGGCUGUAGAAGGUCCCAAGGGUUGGUCUGUUCGCCCAUUAAAGCGGCACGUGAGCUGGGUUCAGAACGUCGCGAGACAGUUCGGUCCGUAUCCGAUGUGUGCGUUAGAAUAUUGAGAGAAUUUUUUCUAGUACGAGAGGACCGAAAAAAGUAUGCCGCUAGUGUACCAGUUAUUAUACCUAUAGUAGACGCUGGGUAGCCACGCAUAAUAAAAAUAACCGCUGAAAGCAACUAAGUGGGAAGUUUUUCUCAAGAUAAAUAUUCUCACCAUUAUUAAUUUUAAUGGGUAAGAUCAUAGUUAGAUUAACUAAUAAAUAGUAUUUAUGUGUAAGUUUUGUAAAAAACUUAGCAAAGAAUAACUAAAAGAUCGA
Molecule: ribosomal RNA, 2726 nt
Filed under: Piridium sociabile
Lineage: Eukaryota; Vitrellaceae
Description: large subunit ribosomal RNA
Rfam family: Bacterial large subunit ribosomal RNA
Source: RNAcentral